GUUUGUAGACAUACCAUUCUGAUCACACCCCACCUCAUCCGACCUAGGAAGCCAAAGGAGGUUAGGAGGGCUAGUGUUUGGAUGGAAGAGAGGCAAAGAGUGGUCCUACAUUCC
Molecule: ribosomal RNA, 114 nt
Filed under: Mesocricetus auratus (golden hamster)
Lineage: Eukaryota; Metazoa; Chordata; Mammalia; Rodentia; Cricetidae
Source: RNAcentral